This 203-nucleotide ribosomal RNA is filed under the name uncultured Smithella sp. RNAcentral's name for it is "partial 16S ribosomal RNA". It matches the Rfam family "Bacterial small subunit ribosomal RNA", at positions 1180 to 1382 of the family's 1533-position model. Lineage: Bacteria; Pseudomonadati; Thermodesulfobacteriota; Syntrophia; Syntrophales; Smithellaceae. The record is from RNAcentral.
UGACGUCAAGUCCUCAUGGCCUUUAUGUCUAGGGCUACACACGUGCUACAAUGGGUGGUACAAAGAGCAGCUAACUCGCGAGAGUAUGCAAAUCUCAAAAAGCCAUCCUCAGUUCGGAUUGGAGUCUGCAACUCGGCUCCAUGAAGUUGGAAUCGCUAGUAAUCGCGGAUCAGCAUGCCGCGGUGAAUACGUUCCCGGGCCUU